RNAcentral lists this non-coding RNA (28 nucleotides) under Mus musculus (house mouse). The record is from RNAcentral. Lineage: Eukaryota; Metazoa; Chordata; Mammalia; Rodentia; Muridae.
AGGAGAACAAGCUCAGCUGCUCAGCAGG